RNAcentral lists this ribosomal RNA (374 nucleotides) under uncultured organism. RNAcentral's name for it is "partial 16S ribosomal RNA". It matches the Rfam family "Bacterial small subunit ribosomal RNA", at positions 527 to 896 of the family's 1533-position model. The record is from RNAcentral.
GUAGGUGGCAAGCGUUGUCCGGAAUUAUUGGGCGUAAAGCGCGCGCAGGCGGUUCUUUAAGUCUGAUGUGAAAGCCCACGGCUCAACCGUGGAGGGUCAUUGGAAACUGGAGAACUUGAGUACAGAAGAGGAAAGCGGAAUUCCACGUGUAGCGGUGAAAUGCGUAAAGAUGUGGAGGAACACCAGUGGCGAAGGCGGCUUUCUGGUCUGUAACUGACGCUGAGGCGCGAAAGCGUGGGGAGCAAACAGGGAUUAGAUACCCUGGUAGUCCACGCCGUAAACGAUGAGUGCUAAGUGUUAGGGGGUUUCCCGCCCCUUAGUGCUGCAGCUAACGCAUUAAGCACUCCGCCUGGGGGAGUACGGCCGCAAGGCUG